GACGAACGCUGGCGGCGUGCUUAACACAUGCAAGUCGAACGGAAAGGCCCUGCUUUUGUGGGGUGCUCGAGUGGCGAACGGGUGAGUAACACGUGAGUAACCUGCCCUUGACUUUGGGAUAACUUCAGGAAACUGGGGCUAAUACCGGAUAGGAGCUCCUGCUGCAUGGUGGGGGUUGGAAAGUUUCGGCGGUUGGGGAUGGACUCGCGGCUUAUCAGCUUGUUGGUGGGGUAGGGGCUUACCAAGGCUUUGACGGGUAGCCGGCCUGAGAGGGUGACCGGCGACAUUGGGACUGAGAGACGGCCCAGACUCCUACGGGAGGCAGCAGUGGGGAAUAUUGCCCAAUGGGCGGAAGCCUGAUGCAGCAACGCCGCGUGCGGGAUGACGGCCUUCGGGUUGUAAACCGCUUUCGCCUGUGACGAAGCGUGAGUGACGGUAAUGGGUAAAGAAGCACCGGCUAACUACGUG
Molecule: ribosomal RNA, 468 nt
Filed under: uncultured bacterium
Lineage: Bacteria
Description: partial 16S ribosomal RNA
Rfam family: Bacterial small subunit ribosomal RNA
Source: RNAcentral